CAACAAUUAAACUGUUGUCUUGAUCACAAUAGUUGUGGAAGGACGUAAGUCAAUUAUGUGGACUAUUGUUGACACUUUAACUUUUUAAACUCUUUCUCUCUGUUACUUUUGUCACACCUAGUGGGAUGCAAAUGUAGGUUGAUUGUUAUGUGUACUAUUACUGAAAUUUUAUCUUUUAAACUGUCUAUCUCUCUAACGUCAAUUGACAAUAAAUACACUAUUGAUUUUGUGACACAAUAGGCGAGAGUAAGUCAUAACGUGUA
Molecule: long non-coding RNA, 263 nt
Organism: Amphimedon queenslandica
Lineage: Eukaryota; Metazoa; Porifera; Demospongiae; Haplosclerida; Niphatidae
Exons: 7
Source: RefSeq, a predicted model, not a curated record